Molecule: long non-coding RNA, 1854 nt
Filed under: Patiria miniata (bat star)
Lineage: Eukaryota; Metazoa; Echinodermata; Asteroidea; Valvatida; Asterinidae
Description: uncharacterized LOC119738861
Source: RNAcentral
AGAGAAGUAUUUUUCUAUGGCAAAGUACAAGAUUAUCAUUUAAUAUUAAAAAAAAAAAAUAGAAGCUAUACAUCAAUACAUUUCCAGCGAGGAAAUGAGGUUGUUUGUUAACCAUUCAUGCUACAUGUAAUGUAUUCACGAUCUUCAUGAUUUGCAUAGCUUGAACCAUGCUAUAUAACAUAGCGUAUGCAGGAAAUUUGUCUUUUUACAACUACAAACUAUUCAAGGAGGAAGGAACUAUUCAAGCACAUACAGAAAUAAUUAUUUAGUUUUAGAAUGUGAAAGAAGAAACUUAAGUUCCAUCUGCAUUUUUAUUGUAAUUAAUCCUUCAAAAAGAGCAUAAAUCACAUUACAUAUCAUACUUCAUAUAGCAAUAAAAUCAUCAAGUCAGGAUACCCCUCCUUAUGCAGCUCGCCCCAGACGCACCGGAUAAACUAGGAGUUAGAAUAAACAGAAGGCUACAUACUUAUCCAAUUACCCCCCCCCCCUCCUCUGGCCAGCCCCACACCCAGAAUGAGAAGUGACCACCUGCUAAAAGCAAGGUCAGGUUACAACCACUUGUAUUGCCUUCCGCUGGUAACCAGUCUCACCCAACAUGUUUUAUAGUUCCAUGCACGGCAUGUACAUGUACACACGACCUUGCAUACCAGUCAGUACCAGAACAGAAACUGCCUGUGUAGCAGAUUUGAAUUCAGUCAGUUGGACCAAAGUGGACCAUGGAGCUAUGGUGGGAAGGAUCGAGGAAUGGGUUUGCUGGAAACAAAAAAUACAUGUAUUGUCAUGAUUGUACUUGUUUGUACAAGAAGUUUGAGAUGAAAUUGCUCAAACCAUGAAUGUUGGCAGUAAAAGGCAUGCCUAUGGAAACUUUCAAGAAUUAAUUGCUGUUCUUGCAAACACAUUUGAUGGAGAUUUUACUGUGUGCCUCCAUGGUCAUGGUGUAAUGUUGCCUACAUCUCCGGAUGAUCAUGAUUUGCACGGUGCUGUACUACUCUGCUAGAAUUACGGAAGACGUGAUCAGGUCUGGGGGAAAACGAUGGUGACUGACUUCCUCAAAUGAUACAUCUAGAAUUCUACAUCUACCUGUCUCCAUGAUCCUUUGCGCUAUGCAUGGAUAUGAUCUACCAAAAACUACCGAGAUGAGCUGCAGUAUGUGCAUGUACAAGACAAAGACUGUCUGACUGCUUCUGCCCCGGCUCUGCAAAUUGGAGGCAGCGGCAUGCAACAAGCAGUUGGAAUCAUCAUCCUAUCUACAAGAUGUCAGUUCCGGAAACUACAAUGGACAUUACUUUUAAAAAGAUUAUCAUAAAGUUUGUUCAAUACAUACACACAUGAACAUGCAAAUGAUAUACAGGUAUGUCACAGCUUGAUAGAAUGACUCUUGGAAAUUACGAUCAGUACUUUCCUUCAAACUUCCAAUUCUAGUUGUCAAACGUGUCUGAAUACCAUUGCCUUUCAACAAAGCUCUAUGCAUGGUUUUACAAACUGAAUAUAGGCAUGGAUUGUUGCAACCAUCACAAGUCUUUCAUGCAUGUGUCUUUCUUGCCAAAUUUAUAGUAUCCCUCUCAGGAAAACAAUUCAUAUAAAAAUGUGUUUAUUUUACUUUUUUUAGCCCAACUUCUGCUAUUUUUUUCACCACAUUAACCGUGUACACUGUACAGACUGUGUUCAUUAUUGGUGCCUUUGAUUUAAUACACUGCACUGGAAAGAUAUCUGCUCAUCCCCUACAUGCACAAAUUUGUAAAUUCAGAAGAUUUUUUUUUUUAAAAGAACAGAAUAUGUCUGUCCAACUGUAAUUGUGUCAUGGUUGUUUUCCUGAUUUUAUUUAGAAUAAAGAGUAACGCCAUGGUAAUGUCA